Molecule: non-coding RNA, 23 nt
Filed under: Arabidopsis thaliana (thale cress)
Lineage: Eukaryota; Viridiplantae; Streptophyta; Magnoliopsida; Brassicales; Brassicaceae
Source: RNAcentral
UGCAAAGUGCCUCAAAUGGAAUA